This 305-nucleotide ribosomal RNA is filed under the name uncultured bacterium. RNAcentral's name for it is "bacterial SSU rRNA". It matches the Rfam family "Bacterial small subunit ribosomal RNA", at positions 334 to 637 of the family's 1533-position model. The record is from RNAcentral.
UUUUCCUACGGGAGGCAGCAGUGAGGAAUAUUGGUCAAUGGGCGCGAGCCUGAACCAGCCAAGUAGCGUGAAGGAUGACUGCCCUACGGGUUGUAAACUUCUUUUAUAAAGGAAUAAAGUGAGGCACGUGUGCCUUUUGUAUGUACUUUAUGAAUAAGGAUCGGCUAACUCCGUGCCAGCAGCCGCGGUAAUACGGAGGAUCCGAGCGUUAUCCGGAUUUAUUGGGUUUAAAGGGUGCGUAGGCGGUCGGAUAAGUUAGAGGUGAAAUCCCGAGGCUCAACUUCGGAAUUGCCUCUGAUACUGUU